AUUGAACGCUGGCGGCAUGCCUUACACAUGCAAGUCGAACGGCAGCACGGGAGCAAUCCUGGUGGCGAGUGGCGAACGGGUGAGUAAAGUAUCGGAACGUGCCCAGUCGUGGGGGAUAACGUAGCGAAAGUUACGCUAAUACCGCAUACGAUCUAUGGAUGAAAGCGGGGGAUCGCAAGACCUCGCGCGAUUGGAGCGGCCGAUAGCAGAUUAGGUAGUUGGUGGGGUAAAGGCGCACGAAGCCGACGAUCUGUAGCUGGUCUGAGAGGACGACCAGCCACACUGAGACUGAGACACGGCCCAGGAUCCUACGGGAGGCAGCAGUGGGGAAUUUUGGACAAUGGGCGAAAGCCUGAUCCAGCCAUGCCGCGUGCAGGAUGAAGGCCUUCGGGUUGUAAACUGCUUUUGUACGGAACGAAAAGGUUUGGCCUAAUAAGCUGAACUCAUGACGGUACCGUAAGAAUAAGCACCGGCUAACUACGUGCCAGCAGCCGCGGUAA
Molecule: ribosomal RNA, 500 nt
Filed under: uncultured bacterium
Lineage: Bacteria
Description: partial 16S ribosomal RNA
Rfam family: Bacterial small subunit ribosomal RNA
Source: RNAcentral